GACGAACGCUGGCGGCGUGCUUAACACAUGCAAGUCGAACGGAAAGGCCCUGCUUUUGUGGGGUGCUCGAGUGGCGAACGGGUGAGUAACACGUGAGUAACCUGCCCUUGACUUUGGGAUAACUUCAGGAAACUGGGGCUAAUACCGGAUAGGAGCUCCUGCUGCAUGGUGGGGGUUGGAAAGUUUCGGCGGUUGGGGUUGGACUCGCGGCUUAUCAGCUUGUUGGUGGGGUAGUGGCUUACCAAGGCUUUGACGGGUAGCCGGCCUGAGAGGGUGACCGGCCACAUUGGGACUGAGAGACGGCCCAGACUCCUACGGGAGGCAGCAGUGGGGAAUAUUGCACAAUGGGUGGAAGCCUGAUGCAGCAACGCCGCGUGCGGGAUGACGGCCUUCGGGUUGUAAACCGCUUUCGCCUGUGACGAAGCGUGAGUGACGGUAAUGGGUAAAGAAGCACCGGCUAACUACGUG
RNAcentral lists this ribosomal RNA (468 nucleotides) under uncultured bacterium. Its description in RNAcentral is "partial 16S ribosomal RNA". It matches the Rfam family "Bacterial small subunit ribosomal RNA", at positions 28 to 507 of the family's 1533-position model. The record is from RNAcentral.